GGGGACGCGGAGGAGAAGGAAAGUCGCUCAAGCAGUGGACAGAGCGGAGAAAGCGACUUCGGGUUGGUUGAAGGGUCUGCUGGAGUUUGCUGGAGGUGCACUCCAGACUCUGUUUGCCUGCCUAUCACCAACAGAGGCUGCAGAACAGCAAAGAUUGCUGUCUGUAACUUCCUCUGGAAGCUUCAUCCCAGAGGGGCACCUGCCAGAUGCCAGCCGGAGCUCUCCUCUAUGAGUGAAUGAAGGAGGGAAGAAAGGAGAGACAGAGAAAAUAUGGAUUUCCUCAUGGUUGUGAUUCCUCUUCACUCUUUUGAAUUUGGAAGGAUGGCAUACACAUCUGAAAAAUACCACUACUUCCUUCAUUGGACUGCAAGGUAUUUCUGUUUGGAAAAGUAAUGGAGUCCAGUCAACUUCAUUGAUCGCCAAGGACUGUCAAAAUUAUAAAACUUGCUGUGGAGCUCUGACAUGCCAGAAGCCGCUAGAAAAAGAAGUUUGACAUUCAGAAACUUAUCAAGAGGUUCUACUCUUUGGAUAGAGACCAAAAUCAUACUUUGAAGGGAUUGCAGUGGCAAAGCUAGGCUAGGUCUUGGAGGCUGGUGUAAGGCGAUGUGGGUGAAGGCAGGAGGCUGAUGGAAAGACUGGGGGGAAGAAAAGCCGAAAUGGAUUCACGGUGCCUUGGAUGAAGGACGAGAGGGGAACUGCAAGCUCCUUCAACUGGUUCUGUCCGGUGAGAAGUGAUCAAGCUUGGGCUGACAAGAGGCUCAGGGAGCCCUCACGUUCUUUCGCUUUUUUACCUGCCAAUCAAACUGCUACAAGACAACACCCUGAUCUGGCAUGGACAUCGCGGGUCCAAGCCUGUAGCCCCAAAUCGGAUAAUCUCUGCAGCUGAUAACAAGCAAAAGAGAAGCCAGGCAACAGCCAUAUUAAAGAAGAAAACAAUCAACUCUGAGAUCCAACUUAGAAAUAAUGUUUCAUUCAAGAUAAGGCUCGUGGCUUAGGAGAUUGUGACCUGGCUUGCAUCAUUCUAAGACUUCUAUCGUCUGUUUUCAAAACCCAAGGAGGACCUCCUUUUCUGUGUGAUAGUUCCUCAUGCUUUGCCAGCCACUGGGUCUUUAAGGAAGCUUGCCAAGAGUUCCCGGCUGGGAAGGACAGUUCGAGUUCAUCAUAGACAAUGAGCUGGCACCACAGUUUAAGUGACUCACCAACCUGGUUGCCCACUUCAAAAUGUCAAGAACCACACUAUCUAAUUGAAAGAACUGUGUUUUAGCAAAGUGUAAUUGGAUCGCCUGGCAAGAUCAUCUCAAACUAUGUCUCUGACCUUGCCUUUCAGUGGCUAUUUUGAGCACAAGAGGAGAAAGGAAAUGAUUCCUGAAUUAUAUCUUGUUUUUAAAAAUUAAGAUUAAUUAAUACUUGGUUUUAUGUUCAUUCCAUUGUAGGAACUUAGUGAUUAUUACAAAACAGUCAAAAUAGGUCAUAGCAAAAUGAACGUUUAAGAUUAGGUUAAAACAUUCCUCUGAAAUUUUAGUAUUCACUUUUGAAGUGUCAAUUACUAUAUUUCUGUAAUUUCUCAUUUUUUUCUUGGCUUAGAGUCAAGAUGAAAAAUGAUAUUUGAAUCAAAGACAUUGUUUUGUUAUAUAGCCACUCCUUUCUAAAAUGCAAAUCCACCCUCCCCUCACCAAUGCUUUAUUCUUUGUGCGCGCACACACACACACACACACACACACACACACACACACACACAGACAUACACAGAACCAGCACCCAAAUGGUAGAGGAGGUCCUUCCAAGACUUCUAGGACCUGGAUCAUGUAAGCAGUAGAUGAGAAAAUGAAGUAAGAGAUAUAGAGUAAUAACAAUAAAAGUCAAUGAUUUCAUUUUACAAAAAAGUCAUUGUGUAGUACUCAGAUAUUUUUAAGAGCAAGUAUUAUUAUGACUAAAGUAUAUUAUACUUCUAAAUUAUUAUGAUUCUCAUCUAAUUUCAAGCCACACAUAGGCGCCAUUUGAAAGCAUUUUGUGUUACAACCUAUCAACAAAAAUCAACUAAUAGUUUUAUAACGUGCAUAGGUUUACCCCAUGGGGAAUUAAAAUUUUUAUCUGCAAGUAUUUCUGUUGUUGUGAGACUUUAGGACAAGACAACAUUUGGUGUUAACAUAGAAGAAUAUUCUAUGGCUUUUUUAGCUUUAAAGUUCAUUACUCUAAAAUAAAGUACACGUGGUAUUUUUUUCUUCCUAGUGUUCUCUUAUUAUAUGUAGAGUAUUUUCGGUUGUUGUUUUUAACGUAUACAUUAUUUUUAUUAAGUCAUUUCAUAAAAGAUAAGAUAUAUACUAAUAGACCCUUGGUUUUCUCCUAAUUUAAUUAUUUCAAGUCAAGCAAAAUUGGGCAAUUUUCUUUCAGGAAAAAAAAAAUAUUGAGCAUGAUUUUGAGGUAAAACUGAUUAUUUACAGCAUCUUUUCUCUAAUAGGCUAACAUUUAUGAUGGAUCUUAUUUCAAAGUUGAUUAUUCUCAAAGAAAAGUGGAGAUAUUAGAAUUUCCGAGUAAAUUGCAUUGUUUUAAAAAGUACUUUAAUGCAUUGUUCACAUUGUUGCCAGCUAUUGACCAAAAAAGAGAAGAAGAAAAAAGAAAUAAAAAAAGCAGUAUCUGCUCCAAACGUCAAGUUUUGCAGUUUGAAAGACUUGUACAUUAUAAUUGUUUUUUUCUUUUUUGGAAAGCAGUAGUAAUUAAUACCAAAGGCAUAGACAAUUUAGGGCCAUAACCUCCCUUCCCCCCUCUCCACCUUUUUUUUUUUUUUUUUUUUUUUUUAACUUUAACCAUGAUAGGCAUCUCUGCAAGGUAGGUUUUAACAUAUUUUUUUCCUAAUUUUUUUCCCUCCAUUCAGUAAGAAGGAUAAGCUUUUAGAGUACCCAGUCACCGUGGUAACUGCCAAAAAAAUUCUCCUGAAGUUUGAAGAGGUCAGCUAGCAGGGUCAACAACCCUGGCCUCUCUCUGAGCUCGGUCUAGCAUGCCCCAGCCUGCGGUUGGAGUGUCAGGCCAGAUCUGACCCUGGGAGGUGGACCAUUCUGGCUCUGAUAUAAAUUUUUCGAGUCAGUUCAUGGCCUGGACUCUCCAGGUGGCCUCCAAAAUCGAUUUUGACCCCCUGACCCUGUCUCACGGAGGCAUAGCAUCCACCCUAAGUAAGGAUUUAGCCAGGAAUGACAGCUUUCCACUGAGUGUUAUUGGGGACAGUAUAAACAGUUUGGAAAGCAAGUAAGGAGGUGUGAGGGCUAGCAAUCAUUAAAAGCACAUUAAAAAACAAUUUUUAAAAAUCUUUAUUAGAGAAAGUUGUAAAUGCAUAUCUGUUACAGAAUUCCUGUGAUUUGUAGAGUUUUCUAGUCAGUUUUGAAUAUAAAUAGGUCACAUAUCUUUAUCUUUUUGCAUACUUUGUUACAAAUAUGCAAAUAAGAUAGGCAUACUUGCUACAAAAUAGGUACAGCAGGAAUGUAAUAUGUUCAGAAAAGGCAAACUGGUUAUUAAAACACAUUAACAGGUAAGGAGUUUCUAAUAUUUUAAAUACUAAAAUUUUACAUGUGUAUUUUGAAGUUUUUAAAAUGGAAAAAUAAAGAACCUUUAAAAAACCCAACAGUGUGGAAUAAAGAUAAACUUGUUGCACUCAAGGUACAUUUCUACUUUGUAAAGCAAGAAGCCAAUACACUCAGUUGGAUAAAAAUGAGAGAAAAAUUGUAAAUAUAGAGAGUUACAGCUUAUAGAGCUGAAGAGGAAUAAAACAAAAAAAAGUGUCUCUGAAUAACUUUAUGUAUUUUCAACAGUUUAAGAUAUCAGAAACUUGGAAAAUAAAUAUGAUAUAUAUAUAAAUCAUCAGUGAUUAUUUCCUUUUCAUUCCCCCCCGCCCCCAGGAUGCCACCGUGAGUGUUUGAUUUUCUCUAGGAAAGUAGAAUUCUCUUUGAGAGUUCUAGCCUGUGAACUCAGUAUGUAAAUGUGGCCAUCAAGAAGACAGAACUGCCAAGAGGAAAGAUUAUGAAUGUUUUUCUUCCUUAAAACCAUUCACAGUGUUUCUUCUUCCAGUGCUUUACUCAGACUUCUCCCCUUUUCCCAGCUCUGUUGAAAAUGGCUUCAAAAGCAACACUGCAGUGGCUAAACCAAUUGUACUGUGAAGUUGUUGAGAUGCCAUUUCAUCUGAAUCCUUCGUAAAAAUUAGAUUUUUAAGUAGGGGUGAAUAUCCUUUUGGGAGAGGGAAUGGGAGGGUAGAAGAAGGGGGGAAAGGACAGAGCA
Homo sapiens (human) is the source of this 4263-nucleotide long non-coding RNA. Ensembl annotates it as SOX2 overlapping transcript. Its record names the gene SOX2-OT. Lineage: Eukaryota; Metazoa; Chordata; Mammalia; Primates; Hominidae. The record is from Ensembl.